AUUGAACGCUGGCGGCAGGCCUAACACAUGCAAGUCGAGCGGAUGAAGGGAGCUUGCUCCUGGAUUCAGCGGCGGACGGGUGAGUAAUGCCUAGGAAUCUGCCUGGUAGUGGGGGAUAACGUCUGGAAACGGGCGCUAAUACCGCAUACGUCCUGAGGGAGAAAGUGGGGGAUCUUCGGACCUCACGCUAUCAGAUGAGCCUAGGUCGGAUUAGCUAGUUGGUGGGGUAAAGGCCUACCAAGGCGACGAUCCGUAACUGGUCUGAGAGGAUGAUCAGUCACACUGGAACUGAGACACGGUCCAGACUCCUACGGGAGGCAGCAGUGGGGAAUAUUGGACAAUGGGCGGAAGCCUGAUCCAGCCAUGCCGCGUGUGUGAAGAAGGUCUUCGGAUUGUAAAGCACUUUAAGUUGGGAGGAAGGGCAGUAAGUUAAUACCUUGCUGUUUUGACGUUACCAACAGAAUAAGCACCGGCUAACUUCGUG
Molecule: ribosomal RNA, 484 nt
Filed under: uncultured bacterium
Lineage: Bacteria
Description: partial 16S ribosomal RNA
Rfam family: Bacterial small subunit ribosomal RNA
Source: RNAcentral